UGUAUAGGCGUAUGUACCUAUAAGUUCUUCAUGAUGUGUGUUUAUUUAUAACUGGGGUAUUGUUGGGAUAUCCAGAGUGUAGUUUUUUUUACUCUUGCUGGCAAUGAUAUCUGGUGCUCAUGUGGUAGGCGGCUAUGCUGUUUUCUAUGAAUGUAACGUUCGUAAAAUUUGAAAUCCGUCCGGAAAAUACUAUUCUCACGCGCAUCUAUAUGAUGGAAAGUCUAAAUAUAGUAUGUUUGCGUUGCCUGGUGUUGGUUUGGGUUGGUUUUUCGUUGUUUCGGCGCCGCUCACAGCCUCUUAGCGCUCGUCUGCAGUUAGUGUUCGCUCAAAAGCUGUUUGCUUAUAAAAUAUAAAAACACAUGUUUUCUUCAGUGUACACUUGUGGUCCUAUGCAUAUUGCAUAGCCGAACGUGCAACUAAAAAUUGAUAUUCUUAGUGGGGGAGGUUUUUCUAUAUAUAAAUAUAGUGACUUUAUCCUGCUGGGUGCAUUUGAUGGGACAUCGUCAACGUGAACACAUAUUUGAAUAUUCAACCGUUUCUCCGCCGACUUAAUCAUUAUGUCUUCGCGCAGUGACAUCCAGUGCAAUAAUAUCUCCAGUUCUAAAGGGAUAAAGAAAAAGUUGCAGAACAAAAAGCAAAUACGCAAAAUUUUUGAGUUUGAAAAUGCAACGUACCCACAAACAAGAAACAUUUUGGAACUGGUUAAACGCAAUAUUUUGAUGUGCCACCAAAACAAACUCACAGCAAAGGAGUCGGGCUAUAAAAUCUCUCAAGAAAUCGAAAAUCGUUUGCAAGACACACAACGCGCUCCUCUCAGCGAUCAGAAGAAUCAUUCCAAUGCCAAUUCAAAAUUUGAAGCGUUCGAGUGCAGUACCAUCACCAAGCAACUACUUAGAAAAUCAAUUCUAGAGAAGCAGAAGGAAAAAUUACUCCGUGACGUACAACAUAAAGAAAAAUAUAUAAAUUAUAAAUUGUGGCGACCGUGGUGAAUUUGUUUGUUAAUGAUAAAACGUGGGACCAGCAUAAAAUUGUGAUUGUAAGCUUUAAUGUGUAAUAAAAUUAUAAGAUUUGCGAUAAAUAUAAUUAUUUAAAUAGGUA
Dalotia coriaria is the source of this 1098-nucleotide long non-coding RNA. RefSeq lists it as uncharacterized. NCBI's taxonomy places the organism in Eukaryota, Metazoa, Arthropoda, Insecta, Coleoptera, Staphylinidae. The transcript has 2 exons. The record is from RefSeq and is a predicted model, not a curated record.